CCUACGGGAGGCAGCAGUGAGGAAUAUUGGUCAAUGGGCGCGAGCCUGAACCAGCCAAGUCGCGUGAGGGAAGACGGCCCUACGGGUUGUAAACCUCUUUUGCCGGGGAGCAACGGGCGCCACGUGUGGCGCCACUGAGAGUACCCGGAGAAAAAGCAUCGGCUAACUCCGUGCCAGCAGCCGCGGUAAUCCGGAGGAUGCGAGCGUUAUCCGGUUUUAUUGGGUUUAAAGGGUGCGUAGGGGGAGCGUUAAGGCAGUGGGCAAAUUGCGGGGAUCAACCCCUUCCCGCCAUUGAAACUGGCGCUCUUGAGUGGAAGAGAAGUAUGCGGAAUGCGUGGUGUAGCGGUGAAAUGCAUAGAUAUCACGCAGAACCCCGAUGGCGAAGGCAGCAUGCCGGCUUCCUACUGACGCUGAAGCACGAAAGCGUGGGGAUCGAACAGGAUUAGAUACCCGAGUAGUC
Molecule: ribosomal RNA, 460 nt
Filed under: uncultured bacterium
Lineage: Bacteria
Description: partial 16S ribosomal RNA
Rfam family: Bacterial small subunit ribosomal RNA
Source: RNAcentral